UCACAUUGCUGCGGGGUGGAGGCGAUUUUAACUAACCCUAAUGCAGAGUAAGUGGCUGGGCCUUCCUCACACUGCCUCCCGCUGCGCGAAACCUCGCUGUUUUCUUGGCUAACUUUCAGCGAGGUGAGGAGAGGCGGCAAAAAAAAAAGGUUGGGAGCAGCAGCGGCAAACAAAAAAAAAAGUUCCAGCCGAGGCCUCCUCACCCCCGCGGCCUGGGUCUGAGGGUAACACGGCCCUGCGGGAGAGAGGCAACACGGGGGCCCCCGGUCCGGCGAACAGGGCAGGAGGUCGGUCCCAAUCGCCUCACAGGCCCAGCCACUCCGGGCCGCGGUCAGCCCGGGGCUUUCCCCCCCACCAUGGGGGCCCAAUGCUGCCGCGAAGAGUUCGGCUCUGUCAGCCCGGCUGGGCCAGGGUGGGGGCCGGCACAGAGGGACACACCGGGCCGGGGCGCCGGGGAUAGCUACCGCCCGCAGGGAUAGCAAAUAUCCGUGACCAGUGGUCUCGGUGGCUGCGUCUCCCGGAGCAAUGGGACCCGCAAGGCUGCCCUGGUCAUACACAU
This 559-nucleotide telomerase RNA is filed under the name Mustelus canis (smooth dogfish). RNAcentral describes it as "Vertebrate telomerase RNA". It matches the Rfam family "Vertebrate telomerase RNA". From Rfam's summary of the family: Telomerase is a ribonucleoprotein reverse transcriptase that synthesises telomeric DNA. Telomerase RNAs differ greatly in sequence and structure between vertebrates, ciliates and yeasts, but they share a 5' pseudoknot structure close to the template sequence. Vertebrate telomerase RNAs have a 3' H/ACA snoRNA-like domain. Lineage: Eukaryota; Metazoa; Chordata; Chondrichthyes; Carcharhiniformes; Triakidae. The record is from Rfam by way of RNAcentral.